UUUCGAUGGUAAGGUAUUGGCUUACCAUGGUUUCAACGGGUAACGGAUUUUUAGGGAAAGAUCCCGGAGAGGGAGCUGAGAAACGGCUACCACAUCCAAGGAAGGCAGCAGGCGCGCAAAUUACCCAAUCCCGACACGGGGAGGUAGUGACAAUAAAUACUGAUACAGGGCUCUUUUGGGUCUUGUAAUCGGAAUGAGUACAAUUUAAAUACCUUAACGAGGAACAAUUGGAGGGCAAGUCUGGUGCCAGCAGCCGCGGUAAUUCCAGCUCCAAUAGCGUAUAUUAAAGUUGUUGCAGUUAAAAAGCUCGUAGUUGAACCUUGGGCCUGGCUGGCCGGUCCGCCUCACCGCGUGUACUGGUCCGGCCGGGCCUUUCCUUCUGGAGAACCGCAUGCCCUUCACUGGGUGUGUCGGGGAACCAGGACUUUUACUUUGAGAAAAUUAGAGUGUUCAAAGCAGGCCUUUGCUCGAAUACGUUAGCAUGGAAUAAUAGAAUAGGACGUGCGGUCCUAUUUUGUUGGUUUCUAGAACCGCCGUAAUGAUUAAUAGGGAUAGUCGGGGGCGUCAGUAUUCAAUUGUCAGAGGUGAAAUUCUUGGAUCUAUUGAAGACUAACUACUGCGAAAGCAUUCGCCAAGGAUGUUUUCAUUAAUCAGUGAACGAAAGUUAGGGGAUCGAAGACGAUCAGAUACCGUCGUAGUCUUAACCGUAAACUAUGCCGACUAGGGAUCGGGCGAUGUUUCUAUAUUGACUCGCUCGGCACC
RNAcentral lists this ribosomal RNA (762 nucleotides) under Roussoella mexicana. RNAcentral describes it as "SSU rRNA". It matches the Rfam family "Eukaryotic small subunit ribosomal RNA", at positions 320 to 1087 of the family's 1831-position model. Lineage: Eukaryota; Fungi; Ascomycota; Dothideomycetes; Pleosporales; Thyridariaceae. The record is from RNAcentral.